RNAcentral lists this long non-coding RNA (2984 nucleotides) under Canis lupus familiaris (dog). RNAcentral describes it as "lncRNA (ENSCAFG00845024106.1)". Lineage: Eukaryota; Metazoa; Chordata; Mammalia; Carnivora; Canidae. The record is from RNAcentral.
AUAUGUGUGUAGGUGUGUGCACACGUGUUGUUUUGAGCCUUUAAAAGUUAGUCGCAUGACCUUUUACACCCUUCAGUGUAUAUUUUUUUCUAAGAAUAAGAAUACUGUCUUGCAAACAAGUAAAUUUUAAAUUGAUAUGUUUUUCUGAUCUUCCAUCUGCAUUCUGCCUUGCAUGGGCUUUGACUGAUAAAAGACUUUGUCUCAGUUAGGGGCAGUCCUAUGUGAGGUGUGAAUUUCCAUCGGUGAUCCUCUGAAAAUGGUUCUCAGAGAUGUGAAUCCAGGACCUCCUAUACUGGUUGCCUCUGAUCAUGAGGGAAGGAGUGGAGCAGCAUUCAGAUAAGAAUUAGUGUAGUAAGGAAUAGUAGGAAAAGGGGAAUAAAAGGCAAGUGGGUAAAUGAUUACUAAUUUUUAGAGUGGUCCUAGGAAUUAUGCUUUCGGUUGGCAUAAUGGAUGCAUGACUCUCUUUCUGGAAGGAAGAGAGUCAACUGAGUUCACUGUUUGAAUUGCUUCCCUUGGUGGGAAGUGUGUUUUAUUUAUAUGCAAUAUUAUAAAAAAAUAUUUUAGAAACACACUGUAUUAUAAACUUUAAGCUCACCUCUAAAAAUACAAGAAAAUGAAAAAAUGUGCAUGAAGUUAAGUAAGAGGAGAUCUCAUUUAGCAUCUUACAGAGGAGGCUGUAGAUUUACUUUUUUAGACUUCUAGGGGAAAAAUACCAGAGCACCAGACUAGCACAUCAAUCAUUUGAAAUUGCCUGACAGUCUUGAAGAGGAUAUCCUGGCUGCAGAAAGCACAUAGCUGUCUUAAGGCUAGAGGCCCAGGUCAGGACAUAGUAAGAACAAAAGAUGAGCACUUUUGAGAGGAACCAGCUGGCUUAAGGUGAUCCAAAGUGCACAGAUGUUAAGGGCUCACUGUUCCAAUAAUACCAUUACCUAACACAAGAAUAACAGAAUAACCAUUAAAAAAAUUAUGAAACUUGAUUUACCAGGUUGACCCUUGAGAUCUGACAAAUGUGUUUCUUUUCCAUCAUGCUAAUUUUCUAUUUUUAUCUUAAUGUUAUUUUUAUAUGUGUAUUCUUGAAAAAUAAAAUAUACUGAAUCUUUCUUAGAAAUAUGUAUAGAAUCCUGUUCAUGUGAGAUCUUUAGUGGUUUUUUAAAUGCAUCUAAGCACAAUAUCCAAGAAUCUAUAAUUUUCUCCGUGUCUGCAUCAAAAUUCCUCAAACUCUAACACUGGUGGUUCUGUGGCAAAUAGAGAGAUGUUAGAUCUCAAGCCAAUUAUACAGCUUCUGGUGUGGCGUUUGAAUGUAAAAAAGGAGUAACGGUAACGUAAUCUCAAAACUGGUAAGAGCCAGCCUUGUGUUUUGAAUUUGUGUUUGACUCAUGGGGAAUAAUCAGGAACUGGAAACAAUGGUGGUUUGGAAAAUGUUAAUUUUGUCGUUGCUGAGUGUGUUAUAGUCUAAAGUCAUGAAAAAUGGUUCUACAUUCUUAAGACUGUGGUCAUUCCUUUUCUAUUCAAUUAUAUUGAAUACUUUGUGAGUAUAAGGAAUGUCACUGAUCAUUAUUACAUACCCUAGAGAAGCAUCACUGCAUACCCAUUAAAAAUAUUUAAAAUGAAGCACCAACCACAUAUACUAGAAUCAACAGCAUACAGCUUGACUCAGAGGUAGCCAAGUUUAUUUAUUUAACAAGUAUUAUUAAGUACUCAGUAAAAGCCUUGAGCAUAUCUCUGUAGCAUUACUGACUGCAAAGGUUGGCCAUGGAAAAAUUCCUUGUUGCAUGCACCAUACCGUACAAACCUCCCUAUUUACUCUUAUAUGAAGAUGUGGAAACAGGAAGAUUAAAAGUGUUCCUCUGUAACUAGUUGUUUCUAUUUUCAAUUCUAGGACAUAGUAACUGUAUAAAUAAGCAGAAUUUCAAAUUUUAUUAUCAAACUCUAAGUACGUCAUCAUUUGCUAUUUGUAUUCAGAGAAUGUGAGAGUGACACCAUCUAAUUGAGCUGCAGCUUGCUUCUUUUUUUUAUACCAUCAGAAUAGCUUCAUGAUGAUGAACUUUGACGAAUGGCUUAAACUUACUCACUUUUUUCUUUUCAAGUUAGUGUCACUUCAAAAAUAAAAAUAAAAAUAGGCACUCUUAUUGGAACUUUAGGAGUAAUACUGGGUAUAAACAGGCUUAGAAUAUACUUAACUAUAGUAAUCCUUCCUGACACACAUAGAGAUGAAUUGAUAACUGGAUUUGGCAUUUCAAAUAUUUUCUACCCAAAGCAAGGGCUUUAAGGUGUUUUCUUGGUAUUAGAGAGUUUAGAAAUGAAAAAGGUACCAUUUAUUAUUUUCUCUUUCUGUCAGCCUAGGACUUCUCUUUGCAAUCAUGUUUGUAAUACUGGGCCUAUCAGUUCUUAAAUGUUUUACCUGUUGAAGAAUGUUCCAUCAGAGGAUGUGCUAAAAUCUUCGAUUAUAUGUACCCAAGGUUUUGACUGAAUGUCUGAUACAGUCAGAUAAGGUAAUUUAUUGGAAGAGGACCUUGGACUUGGAAUCAGAAGUAAUGAGUUCUAGUCUGGAAUCUACAAGAUAAUUCAUAUGUGAUCUUGAACAAAUCACUUAGUGUCUCUUAAUUCUCUAUUUCCUCAUGUGAGAUGUGAGACAUUUCAGCCAGCCUGUAAUAUUCCUCCAGUGCAAAACACAUUCCAUCAGUUAAGCAUCAAAUAAAUAAGUCAAUUAAUCAUGUUAACCACAACAACUGAUCAGCCAAAAUAUUUAAGGUAUUUAUAGUAAGACUAUGAACAGUCUGAAAACUGAAUUGUCAGGGCACCUGGAUGGCUAGUUAAUUAAGCCUCCAACUCUUGAUGUCUGUUCAGGUCAUGAUUUAGGGUCCUGAGUUCGGGUCCCAUGUUGGGCUUUGCACUCAGGGAGGAAUCAGCUUCUCUCCCUUUCCCUAUGCCCCUCCCCUCGUUCUCAUAUGCCUUCUCUCUCUCUCUCUCUCUCUCUCUAAAAA